GGGUGCCUCCAUGUUAGUUCAUGAUAAAUCCAAGCUGUGGGAUUUACAACACGCAAAAUACACGUUAGAAACACAUUAAACUAGCUCUCUGGUAAACUGGAAGAAGAGCACAGUAAACUUUGUAGUCAGCAACACAAUCUGUAUACUGUAUGCUAUUAAUAAAACAUUGUCAGAUUAUAUUUGUAAGCAUCAUUAUUUCCAUUUCUAUGGCAUCAUCAUGUAUUUUACAAAUGGUUUCGCUAGUACUUAUGUGUAUGUUUAUGUAUGAAACCUAAAUUAAGCAUUAUAUGGGCGAAAACACAGGCCUAUAUCUGACAUGCAGUGAAUUUUGAUUUGUCUUCUUUGAUUCUUGUCUGUACUGUAUUACACGUCAGUGACACUCUAUGCAUGUUGUAUUACUGUAUACAUUUUUUUUUUCUUUUAAUACAGUGAAUAUAAAGAGGAGCUGAAACAAACAAGACAGGAACUUGAUCAAUGCAAGAAGGAUUUAGAGCGCUUCCAAGCAAGGAUGGCCUUUGAGGCAUCUGUCGACAUGGGAACCAGCGGUGCUUCAUGUGAGGACAUUAAUAAUCCUUGCAGAGAAUCAGAGCUAAGGAAGAUGUAUGAUAAAUUGAGACUACAAAAGUUGUCAAAGCAUAUAAUGGACAUAAAAAUAAAAUCAAAGAAAGACAAAACCAUAAGUGAGGCAAAAGAAAAGGAACGGCUUAAAGCAAUGCUGAAGGAGCAGACUGAGGCACUGCGACUCAUCCUGCAUGCAGCCGCUGCCUCCACCUACCCACCAGCCGCAGCACCAAGUAAGUGGUGAUGUGAAGCUAGGUGUAAACAGACCUUUACCCAUCCAGGCCUCCAUCAAACCUGGUGGUGAGUGGUAGAGCAAGAAGC
Puntigrus tetrazona (Sumatra barb) is the source of this 882-nucleotide long non-coding RNA. RefSeq lists it as uncharacterized. NCBI's taxonomy places the organism in Eukaryota, Metazoa, Chordata, Actinopteri, Cypriniformes, Cyprinidae. The record is from RefSeq and is a predicted model, not a curated record. The transcript has 4 exons.